Molecule: ribosomal RNA, 450 nt
Filed under: Triticum aestivum (bread wheat)
Lineage: Eukaryota; Viridiplantae; Streptophyta; Magnoliopsida; Poales; Poaceae
Description: partial small subunit ribosomal RNA
Source: RNAcentral
AUGGAGUUCCUGAUGCAGCCGAUUAGCAGGUUCCGAAUCCUUGAGGGCAUGGACGGCACGGAUCGGCCGCCGGAGCCAGGGGAGUACGCCGUGCCGGCGAUUGAAUCUGGCGCCCCUUCCACGCCCACGAUGGAGGUUGAGGCGGCGGGUGGGGAUACGCAGGCGCAGCUCGUCGUGGCGGCGCUUGGCCCCCCGGCUGCAUCACAGCAGGCGACCGGGAAGGUGAAUCCAGAGGCCCCGGAGUGGAAGAAGAGGGUCCGGGUUGGAUCAGCGGCUCCAGGGCGGACUCCGUGCCCGACACGGGCAUCUGCAUUGGAGAAUGCAAUCAGGAGUUUCGCCGACAAUCCAGGAGAUGAGGUGACAGUACCUAAACUGGGUACUAGCUUCAAUUCUCUGAAGAGGCCUAUGACUUUUACAAUGUGUUCUCAUGGGAGAAGGGAUUUGGUAUAA